UACGUAGGGUGCAAGCGUUAAUCGGAAUUACUGGGCGUAAAGCGAGCGCAGGCGGUCGUGUAAGACAGAUGUGAAAUCCCCGGGCUCAACCUGGGAACUGCAUUUGUGACUGCACGGCUAGAGUGCGUCAGAGGGGGGUGGAACUCCACGUGUAGCAGUGAAAUGCGUAGAGAUGUGGAAGAACACCGAUGGCGAAGGCGGCUCACUGGUCCGGUACUGACGCUGAGGUGCGAAAGCGUGGGGAGCAAACAGG
This 253-nucleotide ribosomal RNA is filed under the name uncultured bacterium. Its description in RNAcentral is "partial 16S ribosomal RNA". It matches the Rfam family "Bacterial small subunit ribosomal RNA", at positions 524 to 776 of the family's 1533-position model. The record is from RNAcentral.